This 116-nucleotide ribosomal RNA is filed under the name uncultured eukaryote. RNAcentral's name for it is "partial small subunit ribosomal RNA". It matches the Rfam family "Bacterial small subunit ribosomal RNA", at positions 1410 to 1525 of the family's 1533-position model. The record is from RNAcentral.
GCCGGUUCUAUCUAAAGUCGUUAGCCUAACCGCAAGGGGGCAGACGACCACGGUAGGGUCAGCGACUGGGGUGAAGUCGUAACAAGGUAGCCGUAGGUGAACCUGCAGAAGGAUCA